This 70-nucleotide transfer RNA is filed under the name Dipodomys ordii (Ord's kangaroo rat). It matches the Rfam family "tRNA". Rfam says of the family: Transfer RNA (tRNA) molecules are approximately 80 nucleotides in length. Their secondary structure includes four short double-helical elements and three loops (D, anti-codon, and T loops). Further hydrogen bonds mediate the characteristic L-shaped molecular structure. tRNAs have two regions of fundamental functional importance: the anti-codon, which is responsible for specific mRNA codon recognition, and the 3' end, to which the tRNAs corresponding amino acid is attached (by aminoacyl-tRNA synthetases). tRNAs cope with the degeneracy of the genetic code in two manners: having more than one tRNA (with a specific anti-codon) for a particular amino acid; and 'wobble' base-pairing, i.e. permitting non-standard base-pairing at the 3rd anti-codon position. The record is from Rfam by way of RNAcentral. Lineage: Eukaryota; Metazoa; Chordata; Mammalia; Rodentia; Heteromyidae.
GGGCAUGUGGCUUAGUGGUAGAGCGCUUGCCUAGCAUGCAUGAAGCCCUGGGUUCAAUUCCUCAGUACCA